Non-coding RNA from Oryctolagus cuniculus (rabbit), 1614 nucleotides. NCBI's taxonomy places the organism in Eukaryota, Metazoa, Chordata, Mammalia, Lagomorpha, Leporidae. The record is from RefSeq and is a predicted model, not a curated record.
CGGCAGCCACGUCUGGCAACCACUGUUUUUGAUGGAGUGCUGAAGACGGGCGGGAAGACUUGUGAAGCCUCGUACUUGCUAUGUAUUUACUCUAAAUUGUUUCCUGAGUAUGUGCAUUUUUUUUCUUUCCAAAGCCAUCAGAGCAGCUUUGGAAAACUGUGUGAAGGCAACUCCUGAGCACCUACAUAUGUGGGGGGGGGGGGGAGGAUGAGAGAGAGGGAGAGAGAGAGAGAGAGAGAGAGAGAGAGAGAGAGAUUUAAGAUUUCUGCAAGAUUCUCCAGGAAAACUCUCCUGUGUCUCUCCAGCAGUGGCUCUCACACUUACAUCUCAACCUUGCUUCAGGUGCUGUUGAAAACACAGACUGUUGGAUGUUGCUCUGAGAAUUUCUGCUUCAGUUAAGUCUGGGUUGGGACGCUAGAAUUUUGGGCCAUCUACGACACCUUCCCAACUAGGAUGCUCAUACUCCUGGCCCAGAGACCCUACUGCUGCCUUUUUAAGACAGGGCUGCUCUCCCAGCCUUAUCCAGCUGAACAGAGAUUUACAUCAACGGUUCAGGUGAUGUUUUGAGAACGAGCAUCUUAAAUCUCCAGGAUUUUUUUUUCCUGAGCUGAGCAGAAUUUCCAGGAGUGCACAAAAAGAUGAAAGAACUGACCCAACCUUUGUCUGAAACUGGAGCAGCCACGUACAGUCUGAGACCCACAGGGAUACACUUGGGGCAGAGGGGUACGAGCAUAAGGAGUAUGAGCAUAAGGCUUGGCCAUCCGGAGGUAUAUUACAGGUCACAGCGCUGUGAGUCUCUUUAGAAUAUGCCCUUUGCGGCUGGCAGCCCAUAUCAAGGUGCUGUUUUGAGUCUUGGCUGCUCUGCUUCAUAUCUAGCUCCUUGCUAAUUCACCUGGGGAAGCAGCAGAAGAUGGCCCAAGUGCUUAGGUCUCUGCCACUCAUGUGGGAGAAUCAGAUGGGGUUCUAGGCUCCUGACUUGGGCCUAGCCCAGCCCGGGUCAUUGGUGCCAUUUGGAGAGCAAACCAAUGCCUUUCUAAAAAUAAAGUAAAUCUUUAAAUAGAAUAUUUCUUUUGAGGAUCCCCUUAACUUUCAGGAAGCCAGCAUGCAGAAUUGUCAGAAAGUGUCCUUGGAUCAGUAGCUGUGGAGGGUCAGAGGGAGUGUUGGACAUACGCGACACCCUGCAAAGCAGAGCCAAGGAGCCCCAGCCCACCCCAGGGGCCCUCUGUGGGGGGGGAUGACCCUUCAGUGCUGUCCCAGGGAGGGCUACAAAGUUGCCUUUUAUGUCCCCAAGUGGGUAAGUUCUUGGAUGUGGGGCUCCCUGGAAGAGAAGACACGAUCUUCCCUGAGGCUCUCUCUGCUCCUGGGGCAGAUCCAGUGAUCCAUUACAGAAUCCAGUCCUGCCAAAGAGAUCUGAUGUCGGCGCAGAUUGAGGUCACAUGUCUCAAAGGCCUUCAUUCAACAUUAUAGGGCAUGUGAUGUUACCAUCUUGGAUCAUAAAGACCAGAGCCUAGCUUAGAGUGAGCUAUGGUGGUUGACUGGGGAACUACAACGAAUCUAUAGAGCAAAUCCCGGAUUCAUGGGAACGAGAAAUAAACUUUGUUCUUGUGUAAGUCA